This 425-nucleotide ribosomal RNA is filed under the name uncultured bacterium. Its description in RNAcentral is "bacterial SSU rRNA". It matches the Rfam family "Bacterial small subunit ribosomal RNA", at positions 29 to 455 of the family's 1533-position model. The record is from RNAcentral.
AUUGAACGCUGGCGGAAUGCUUUACACAUGCAAGUCGAGCGGCAGCGCGGGGGCAACCCUGGCGGCGAGCGGCGAACGGGUGAGUAAUAUAUCGGAACGUACCCCGUCGUGGGGGAUAACACAGCGAAAGCUGUGCUAAUACCGCAUACGACCUGAGGGUGAAAGCGGGGGAUCGCAAGACCUCGCGCGAUGGGAGCGGCCGAUAUCGGAUUAGCUUGUUGGUGAGGUAAAGGCUCACCAAGGCGACGAUCCGUAGCUGGUCUGAGAGGACGACCAGCCACACUGGAACUGAGACACGGUCCAGACUCCUACGGGAGGCAGCAGUGGGGAAUUUUGGGACAAUGGGGGGCAACCCUGAUCCAGCCAUUCCGCGUGAGUGAAGAAGGCCUUCGGUUGUAAGCUCUUUCUAGCAGGAACGAAACGGU